CACGUGGGCAACCUGCCUGUAAGACCGGAAUAACCCCGGGAAACCGGGGCUAAUGCCGGAUAAUCAAUCGGUUCUCCUGAACCGAUGGUAAAAGGAUGGCUUCCUGCUAUCGCUUACAGAUGGGCCCGCGGCGCAUUAGCUGGUUGGUGAGGUAACGGCUCACCAAGGCGACGAUGCGUAGCCGACCUGAGAGGGUGAUCGGCCACACUGGGACUGAGACACGGCCCAGACUCCUACGGGAGGCAGCAGUAGGGAAUCUUCCGCAAUGGACGAAAGUCUGACGGAGCAACGCCGCGUGAA
Molecule: ribosomal RNA, 300 nt
Filed under: uncultured Salimicrobium sp.
Lineage: Bacteria; Bacillati; Bacillota; Bacilli; Caryophanales; Bacillaceae
Description: bacterial SSU rRNA
Rfam family: Bacterial small subunit ribosomal RNA
Source: RNAcentral